This 459-nucleotide ribosomal RNA is filed under the name uncultured bacterium. Its description in RNAcentral is "partial 16S ribosomal RNA". It matches the Rfam family "Bacterial small subunit ribosomal RNA", at positions 338 to 795 of the family's 1533-position model. The record is from RNAcentral.
CCUACGGGUGGCAGCAGUGAGGAAUAUUGGUCAAUGGGCGCGAGCCUGAACCAGCCAAGUCGCGUGAGGGAAGACGGUCCUAUGGAUUGUAAACCUCUUUUGUCGGGGAGCAAAAGACGCCACGCGUGGCGUUCCGAGAGUACCCGAAGAAAAAGCAUCGGCUAACUCCGUGCCAGCAGCCGCGGUAAUACGGAGGAUGCGAGCGUUAUCCGGAUUUAUUGGGUUAAAAGGGUGCGCAGGGGGAUGGUUAAGUCAGCGGUAAAAUUGCGCGGCUCACCCUCGACGAGCCGUUGAAACUGGUUGUCUUGAGUGAGAGAGAGGUAGGCGGAAUGCGUGGUGUAGCGGUGAAAUGCAUAGAUAUCACGAAGAACUCCGAUUGCGAAGGCAGCACACUGGCGUGCAACUGACGCUCAGGCACGAAAGUGUGGGUAUCGAACAGGAUUAGAUACCCGAGUAGUC